AGUGAACGCUGGCGGUAGGCCUAACACAUGCAAGUCGAACGGCAGCACAGUAAGAGCUUGCUCUUACGGGUGGCGAGUGGCGGACGGGUGAGGGAUACAUCGGAAUCUACUUUUUCGUGGGGGAUAACGUAGGGAAACUUACGCUAAUACCGCAUACGACCUACGGGUGAAAGCAGGGGAUCUUCGGACCUUGCGCGAUUGAAUGAGCCGAUGUCGGAUUAGCUAGUUGGCGGGGUAAAGGCCCACCAAGGCGACGAUCCGUAGCUGGUCUGAGAGGAUGAUCAGCCACACUGGAACUGAGACACGGUCCAGACUCCUACGGGAGGCAGCAGUGGGGAAUAUUGGACAAUGGGCGCAAGCCUGAUCCAGCCAUACCGCGUGGGUGAAGAAGGCCUUCGGGUUGUAAAGCCCUUUUGUUGGGAAAGAAAAGCAGCAGGUUAAUACCCCACUGUUCUGACGGUACCCAAAGAAUAAGCACCGGCUAACUUCGUG
RNAcentral lists this ribosomal RNA (492 nucleotides) under uncultured bacterium. RNAcentral's name for it is "partial 16S ribosomal RNA". It matches the Rfam family "Bacterial small subunit ribosomal RNA", at positions 29 to 507 of the family's 1533-position model. The record is from RNAcentral.